UUUAAUCUUUUUGUUAAGGAUCGAGCAACCCGGGACGUUCUGCUUAGUGGCCGGUUGAGCCAAGGCUUGUACCGUUUGGAGGAUCCAUCCGCCCCGUGCGUCUUCAGCGGUGUUCGUGUGUCGCCUUCCCAGUGGCACUCUCGCUUUGGUCACCCCGCCACACCCAUCGUUCGCCACAUAAUCCACCGUCAUGAGCUGCCAUUAGUGUCUAGCAAUAAAGAGAUGUCCGUGUGUGAUGCCUGUCAGCAAGGCAAGAGUCAUCAGCUACCUUUUGUUUCAUCUACUAGAGAAGUAAAGAACCCUCUUGAAAUUGUGUUUUCUGAUGUGUGGGGUCCGGCACAAACAUCUGUUAGU
RNAcentral lists this ribosomal RNA (354 nucleotides) under Triticum aestivum (bread wheat). RNAcentral describes it as "partial small subunit ribosomal RNA". Lineage: Eukaryota; Viridiplantae; Streptophyta; Magnoliopsida; Poales; Poaceae. The record is from RNAcentral.